CCUACGUGAGGCUGCAGUGAGGAAUAUUGGUCAAUGGCCGGAAGGCUGAACCAGCCACGCCGCGUGAAGGACGAAGGUGCCAAGCAUUGUAAACUUCGUUUGUCAAGGGACAAAAUCAGGCUCGAGACCCUGACCGAGGGUACUUGAAGAAAAAGCAUCGGCAAACUCCAUGCCAGCCGCCGCGGUAAUACGGGGGAUGCGAGCGUUAUCCGGAUUGCUUGGGUUUCACGGGUGCGUAGGCGGACUGUUAAGUCAGCGGUAAAGGCCCGGGGCUCAACCCCGGCGAGCCGUUGAAACUGGCUGUCUUGAGAUGUCGAGAGGUAUGCGGAAUGCGCAGUGUAGCGGUGAAAUGCUUAGAUAUUGCGCAGAACUCCGAUUGCGAAGGCAGCAUACCGGCGGCGAUCUGACGCUGAGGCACGAAAGCGUGGGUAUCGAACAGGAUUAGAUACCCCUGUAGUC
This 459-nucleotide ribosomal RNA is filed under the name uncultured bacterium. RNAcentral's name for it is "partial 16S ribosomal RNA". It matches the Rfam family "Bacterial small subunit ribosomal RNA", at positions 338 to 795 of the family's 1533-position model. The record is from RNAcentral.